GAUAGGCAGGGUGUGUAAGCGUUGUGAGGCGUUGAGCUAACCUGUACUAAUUGCCCGUGAGGCUUAACCAUACAACACCCAAAGGGUUUUG
This 91-nucleotide ribosomal RNA is filed under the name Vibrio tetraodonis subsp. pristinus. RNAcentral's name for it is "Vibrio sp. OCN044 partial 23S ribosomal RNA". The record is from RNAcentral. Lineage: Bacteria; Pseudomonadati; Pseudomonadota; Gammaproteobacteria; Vibrionales; Vibrionaceae.